Molecule: non-coding RNA, 70 nt
Organism: Pseudophryne corroboree (corroboree frog)
Lineage: Eukaryota; Metazoa; Chordata; Amphibia; Anura; Myobatrachidae
Source: the annotation of a RefSeq genome assembly
UCCCUGGUGAUCCAGUGGUCAGGAUACGGCUUUCUCUGCCGAGGCCCGGGUUCGAUCCCCGGUCAGGGAU